RNAcentral lists this ribosomal RNA (497 nucleotides) under uncultured bacterium. RNAcentral describes it as "partial 16S ribosomal RNA". It matches the Rfam family "Bacterial small subunit ribosomal RNA", at positions 28 to 507 of the family's 1533-position model. The record is from RNAcentral.
GAUGAACGCUGGCGGCGUGCCUAAUACAUGCAAGUCGAGCGAACGGACGAGAAGCUUGCUUUUCUGAUGUUAGCGGCGGACGGGUGAGUAACACGUGGAUAACCUACCUAUAAGACUGGGAUAACUUCGGGAAACCGGAGCUAAUACCGGAUAAUAUUUUGAACCGCAUGGUUCAAAAGUGAAAGACGGUCUUGCUGUCACUUAUAGAUGGAUCCGCGCUGCAUUAGCUAGUUGGUAAGGUAACGGCUUACCAAGGCAACGAUGCAUAGCCGACCUGAGAGGGUGAUCGGCCACACUAGAACUGAGACACGGUCCCGACUCCUACGGGAGGCAGCAGUAGGGAAUCUUACGCGAUGGGCGAAAGCCUGACGGAGCAACGCCGCGUGAGUGAUGAAGGUCUUCGGAUCGUAAAACUCUGUUAUUAGGGAAGAACAUAUGUGUAAGUAACUGUGCACAUCUUGACGGUACCUAAUCAGAAAGCCACGGCUAACUACGUG